RNAcentral lists this ribosomal RNA (455 nucleotides) under uncultured bacterium. RNAcentral describes it as "bacterial SSU rRNA". It matches the Rfam family "Bacterial small subunit ribosomal RNA", at positions 29 to 523 of the family's 1533-position model. The record is from RNAcentral.
ACGAACGCUGGCGGCAUGCCUAACACAUGCAAGUCGAACGGGCUGUAGCAAUACAGCCAGUGGCGAACGGGUGAAUAACGCGUGGGAACCUGCCUCGGAGUUCGGAAUAACCGCGGGAAACUGCGGCUAAUACCGGAUACGGCCUGAGGGCGAAAGGAGCAAUCCGCUCCGGGAGGGGCCCGCGUCCGAUUAGCUAGUUGGUGGGGUAACGGCCUACCAAGGCGAUGAUCGGUAGCUGGUCUGAGAGGAUGAUCAGCCACACUGGAACUGCGACACGGUCCAGACUCCUACGGGAGGCAGCAGUGGGGAAUAUUGGACAAUGGGGGAAACCCUGAUCCAGCAAUGCCGCGUGGGUGAUGAAGGCCUUCGGGUUGUAAAGCCCUUUCGGCGGGGACGAUGAUGACGGUACCCGCAGAAGAAGCCCCGGGCUAACUUCGUGCCAGCAGCCGCGGUAA